CCAGCAGUUGUAAGUCUAAAAAGAAAGGCAAACUAGAGCUCAGAAAGAAGGUACACCCAGCAGUGGUAAUUUGACAAUGCAAGUCAUACCAGAGAAAGAUGAUGUGUUUCUUUAUUUUGAAACACUAUGCAGGGGGCAUAGUAAACAAUAAAUGCAAGAUGAAAGAUUCCACCAUCACAGGACCUGUUGCAAAGGGAUGUGCAGACUUGUGGUCCACGAUGCAUCCAAUGUUGGCAGCAUUGCAUGAUUCCUCACUGUAUUUGUAAAAAAAUAAAAUUAUUUGCU
This is a non-coding RNA of Vicugna pacos (alpaca), 285 nucleotides long. The record is from RefSeq and is a predicted model, not a curated record. Lineage: Eukaryota; Metazoa; Chordata; Mammalia; Artiodactyla; Camelidae.